Molecule: long non-coding RNA, 1482 nt
Filed under: Chloebia gouldiae (Gouldian finch)
Lineage: Eukaryota; Metazoa; Chordata; Aves; Passeriformes; Passeridae
Description: Erythrura gouldiae (Gouldian finch) lncRNA (ENSEGOG00005013804.1)
Source: RNAcentral
AUGGUUAAAACAAAUAAACUAGUUGCUGGAAAUAAUUUGGAGGGGGGUUUGUUGCUCUGUCAAUCACCAUUGCUGUUGCCAUUUCUUUCCCAGGUGCAGUUCUUCGGAGCCUGGGCUUUGCCUGAGAAGCUUUCAACUAUGGGUGUUCUCCUGAGAUUCCAGGUCCCCUCCAAAGAGGCAUCCCACAAAGGGUUCAGCAUCAAAUUGGUUCCACAAGGUCAUGAGGUUUUCAGAAGCAAAUGGAGCAUUUCAGGCUCAGUUUCACUAAAGAGAGAUGGGUCUUGCUACACAAGGAUAUGUCAUGUGCAAUUUUGUUUACUUGGGACUGUUUGCUAACCUCCAGCUUCAAUGAGUCAUGGUAUUUUUACUAUCAUGCUGUCCAUUCCAUAGGCUUUAACACACUCCUCCACUUAAUUAUUAACAAAGUCCAAAGGUAUCCACCCCUCUCCCACACAGAUCUUCCAGCUAAACACAGCUUUGAAACCUCUUCUUAUUUAAAAUUGUUCUUUACGGUUUGGAUAAAUACAGUGUUAGCAGUUGAUGCUUUCGUGUUGCUGCAAUGACGUCCUUCCCCACGAAGGCGCCUGCUGCUGUUUACAUUCCUUAUGUCCAAACAAGCCGGACUUGCCCACACUCCAAGAGAUAUCCUCUGGCUUUGCUCCCCGUGAUCCAGCUGAAAAUCACCUCCUUUCCCAGCGUUCCCUGCAGUCACUGAAAGAAGCUCUUCCCUCUAUUUCCUUAGCCCUCAGGUUCCCUGCCACAGUCACCUUUUCCAUGUCCUUGGUGAGGCUGGACCAGGGUUUGAUGCCAGGCUGAUUUCCAGGGUAGUGCUGAGGGCAGAAAUUCAGCCAGUGUUCCUCCCAGAUGUGAGGCACAUGCCAUGAAUUAGAUCAUGAAAUUAUUCUUAUUUUCUGCUGCUAUUUUCUAUUUUUCAGUGGAACAGGUUCCCUGAUCUGGUUCACAGCGCAGCCCAGCAAAAAGCUGGAACUGGGAAGAUUGAGGAGUGAUGCAGCAUGGCAUGAGGACAAAUAAGGUGGUACUGGAUAUUGGGAUGUUUCUGAGGCCACAGGAUCAUAAAACCUUUAUUUUGCUGGCCUGGACUAAACCUCAAUUUCUAGCCAAUAAUGAGCUUGUUAAUCUGUCUUAAAACAAUGUGUUUUCAAGUCUAGUCUGACCUCCCUCUUCUAUGGUUUUUAAUAUCCUGUUUACAAAGUAUUUUAUCAAACACUUUAAAAAAUUUUAGAAGUAUAGUCUUGCUUUAAAAAUACAUGUCUAGUACUUAGUUACAAGCAGCUCCUAUUCACAUAGCAAAGCUGGUCAGUGUGAAGAGCAGCGAGACAUACUUGAACAAGAACGUGCACAAAGUUUAAAGGGAAAGCUGGUAUCUACAAAGCAUCAGCCCUAUUAUAUGUGCUUUUGACUUUUAGAUGUGCAACGACUGAGCACAGAGUCCCGAAAUAAACUGUGUGAUUGUUCAUCCCA